This is a long non-coding RNA of Chelonia mydas (Green sea turtle), 2578 nucleotides long. RefSeq lists it as uncharacterized. The record is from RefSeq and is a predicted model, not a curated record. The transcript is spliced from 2 exons. NCBI's taxonomy places the organism in Eukaryota, Metazoa, Chordata, Testudines, Cheloniidae.
CUCCCCUUGCACCCUACUCCCCCGCCUGGAGCCCCUUCCCAAACUUUGCACUUCUCAUUUCUGGCCCCACCCCGGAGCCCACAACCAGAGCCCUCACCCCCUGCCACACCCCAACCCCAAUUUUGUGAGCAUUCAUGGCUCGCUAUACAAUUUCUAUUCCCAGAUGUGGCCCUCGGGCCAGAAAGUUUGCUCGCCCCUGGGCUAGAGCCUGUUCCCAGGGCUGCCACCAUUCCCGUGACUCCCUCCUUGGGCUGCUCUGCUCCCCACCGUGCAGCCACUGAGCACAGGUACCAUGGGAUGCCUCUGGUCUCAGCCUUGCCCCCUGUGCCUCCCUACUGCCCCUUACCCUGCGCUUUGGGGCAAGGACCAUCUCUCUCUGUUCUGGCCAGUGGCCAGCACACUUUGGGGUGAUGAAGAAUGAAGGGUAGAGUGGAGACUGCCUGGAGCAGGGACUUGGCCCCUCUGUGCAGCUUUACACAACCUCCACCCUCACUCACUAAUAAUCCCACUUCCAUCUGCAGGGAGAUGGAGCCCAGAAUUCCCCUCUCCUGCCCGCAGGGUGGCAGAGAACUCCAGGCACAGCACUGAAAUGGAUACACCCCUCCCUCGACACCAGCUUUUUCUGCAUGUUGAAGAACACAGGGAGAAGGGGCACAUGAGCUGUACAAAGCAUGUUCGAUGUGAGAGCAGCUCUCAAGCAGGCUUUAUCAGAUAGGUCUUGGCACCAAAUGUCACUUUAGGGCCGCGCUCCCUCUAUCUCCUUGCGCUGUAGGGGCCAGUCUCCGCUCCUGUGACAGCCUCUAGCAGGAGGAACUGCACUGAUGAUAUGCUGAGCAGGUCUAGUGCCAGUCGGAGGAUCUGGGGGCACAGUGCUACGGUGCCAUUAUCCCAGCUUAAGUUUUUGUAAGUGUUUGUUCCCCCAACUUGUUUCUGGAGCAGGAUGCAAGAUCUUGUGAACAACAGUGCCGAGGGACCAGCAGCUACAGGGCCCGCGGGGAAGGGGACGACGGAGCCUCCCCAUGAAAUGGACGAAGCAGCAGCUCUAACCUGAGGUAGCUCGGCCGGAGUCACUCCCUCCCUCUGGGGCCCGACAGCCUCGUUUGAAACGGGGAGAUCGCUCCGGACCCCCAGUGCCCCGGCUGCGACACAGGCUCUGCACAAAGACCUGCUGCUAAAAGUUACACUUAGAAUAGUGUCCCUCUACAUCAGCUGUGGGAAGAGCCGCUCAGCUGGAGAUGGUGCAUGGCCUGCUGGGAACUGUAGUCCUCACGCCUGCCACCCUGGUGCGCAAUAGGGAAGGAGGAGCUGUGCUCUGCAGGAUUUUCCCCUUGGCCCCGGGCCUGGCAUGCAACUAAGCCCAUGCUUCCUCCUGCUGGGGGGAAGUGUGUGCAGGAGGUCUUUCCACUCCAUCCUUAGGGGUCCUCGUUUAACUCCCCACCACCCUGGGUCUCAGGCCAUAUUUGUCCCCCCACGAUCUCAGGCACCUCAGGCCAGACUCUUGCAAGCCCAACUCCUGGUCUAGAGAGAGUGCCAAGGCCGCCCCAUUUCUCUGGCCACCUCCCCUCCCACGCCUGAUUCCCUCACAUCUGGGGCCAGGACAGGCUCCAUAACAUUCUCUGCAGGGUUCUUCCAGGCUGGGGAGAUAUUGCUCCAAGCAACCCUAAAUCCCAUUCCUGUGACUGCCCCAAACAUCAAGCCCUGUGCUUGGCCCUCCCCCCAUUUGCAUUCUUUUCUCCCCAAGUUUGCUAGGUCACAGGGCUAGAGCCAUUGCCCCCUGCCUGUUUCCUGCCAUCCAAUCCCACAGUGCAGUGAAAACGCUGAGCAGCCACUUCCCGUCACCGGCCCUGAGCCCCAAGCAAGGCCGUCACAGCAAGGUGCAGCAAGGCAAGCCGCGGCUCCGUCAAAGCCAGGGGAGCUCAGGUGACUCACAGCUGAGGGACCUGCCAGAAUUCCCCCGGGGAGGGCUCGGCCUCUGGGUCUGGAGGGCUCAGCCGGUUGCGGUGACUCAGGCAGAGCUCACUCAACUCUCCACAGGCACAGGCAGGAGAGAGGAGCUCAGGGUGAGCCCAGGCAGGGACUGACAGAGGGGAAGGACCAUCUCCCAUGGCGGGAGAUGGGGUAUUUACAGCCACGUGGGGCCUUGGGAGGCCAGCACUGUCUCUGCUGUCAGCCAGGGAGUAUGGGGUUAGCCCAGCCCCUAGGAUCCCCCUCCUGUAACCCCUCAUACCAGACAUGCUGCCAGGGAGUGACCACAUGCACCCUCUGGCUUCCCCUUCUCACUUGCAAGGCCCCACUUGGCCUCGCUCAGCCCACGCCCAGUGCCUGGGGGCCAGGCUGAGCCCAGGAGCUGUCUGCUGCAGCUGCAGCUUUUGGCUUUCCUGCAUCCUCAGAAACAGCCACACCUACCACCAGCUCCAGCUGGGCAGGGGGAUCUAUGCACCAGCAUUACCCCAGAACCCCGCCCCUCCCCCUGCCCCAACGCAGCCUGCUUAGUGAGGGCCCCGGGCUCCAGACCACCGGAGAAACGCUGGGUGCCCCUGCUCUGGGAGGUAGGGGAGAGGAAAGAGCCCCCUCCCCC